Molecule: ribosomal RNA, 1154 nt
Filed under: Bacillus aerius
Lineage: Bacteria; Bacillati; Bacillota; Bacilli; Caryophanales; Bacillaceae
Description: bacterial SSU rRNA
Rfam family: Bacterial small subunit ribosomal RNA
Source: RNAcentral
CUCACCAAGGCGACGAUGCGUAGCCGACUGAGAGGGUGAUCGGCCACACUGGGAUUGAGACACGGCCCAGACUCCUACGCGAGGCAGCAGUAGGGAAUCUUCAGCAAUGGACGAAAGUCUGACGGAGCAACGCCGCGUGAGUGAUGAAGGUUUUCGGAUCGUAAAGCUCUGUUGUUAGGGAAGAACAAGUGCAAGAGUAACUGCUUGCACCUUGACGGUACCUAACCAGAAAGCCACGGCUAACUACGUGCCAGCAGCCGCGGUAAUACGUAGGUGGCAAGCGUUGUCCGGAAUUAUUGGGCGUAAAGGGCUCGCAGGCGGUUUCUUAAGUCUGAUGUGAAAGCCCCCGGCUCAACCGGGGAGGGUCAUUGGAAACUGGGAAACUUGAGUGCAGAAGAGGAGAGUGGAAUUCCACGUGUAGCGGUGAAAUGCGUAGAGAUGUGGAGGAACACCAGUGGCGAAGGCGACUCUCUGGUCUGUAACUGACGCUGAGGAGCGAAAGCGUGGGGAGCGAACAGGAUUAGAUACCCUGGUAGUCCACGCCGUAAACGAUGAGUGCUAAGUGUUAGGGGGUUUCCGCCCCUUAGUGCUGCAGCUAACGCAUUAAGCACUCCGCCUGGGGAGUACGGUCGCAAGACUGAAACUCAAAGGAAUUGACGGGGGCCCGCACAAGCGGUGGAGCAUGUGGUUUAAUUCGAAGCAACGCGAAGAACCUUACCAGGUCUUGACAUCCUCUGACAACCCUAGAGAUAGGGCUUUCCCUUCGGGGACAGAGUGACAGGUGGUGCAUGGUUGUCGUCAGCUCGUGUCGUGAGAUGUUGGGUUAAGUCCCGCAACGAGCGCAACCCUUGAUCUUAGUUGCCAGCAUUCAGUUGGGCACUCUAAGGUGACUGCCGGUGACAAACCGGAGGAAGGUGGGGAUGACGUCAAAUCAUCAUGCCCCUUAUGACCUGGGCUACACACGUGCUACAAUGGACAGAACAAAGGGCUGCGAGACCGCAAGGUUUAGCCAAUCCCACAAAUCUGUUCUCAGUUCGGAUCGCAGUCUGCAACUCGUACUGCGUGAAGCUGGAAUCGCUAGUAAUCGCGGAUCAGCAUGCCGCGGUGAAUACGUUCCCGGGCCUUGUACACACCGCCCGUCACACCACGAGAGU